GAUUUAGAUCAGGUAGCAAAGGCA
RNAcentral lists this microRNA (24 nucleotides) under Zea mays. RNAcentral's name for it is "microRNA miR-3161". The record is from RNAcentral. Lineage: Eukaryota; Viridiplantae; Streptophyta; Magnoliopsida; Poales; Poaceae.